GAUGAACGCUAGCUACAGGCUUAACACAUGCAAGUCGAGGGGCAGCAUGAACUUAGCUUGCUAAGUUUGAUGGCGACCGGCGCACGGGUGAGUAACGCGUAUCCAACCUGCCCUUGUCCAUCGGAUAACCCGUCGAAAGGCGGACUAACACGGUAUGCAGUCCACAGCAGGCAUCUAACGUGGACGAAAUGUGAAGGAGAAGGAUGGGGAUGCGUCUGAUUAGCUUGUUGGCGGGGUAACGGCCCACCAAGGCGACGAUCAGUAGGGGUUCUGAGAGGAAGGUCCCCCACAUUGGAACUGAGACAAGGUCCAAACGCCUACGGGAGGCAGCAGGGAGGGAUAUUGGUAAAUGGACGGAAGUCUGAACCAGCCAAGUAGCGUGCAGGAUGACGGCCCUAUGGGUUGUAAACUGCUUUUAUAUGGGGAUAAAGUGAGUCACGUGUGGCUUAUUGCAGGUACCAUAUGAAUAAGGACCGGCUAAUUCCGUGCCAGCAGCCGCCGUAA
Molecule: ribosomal RNA, 504 nt
Filed under: uncultured bacterium
Lineage: Bacteria
Description: partial 16S ribosomal RNA
Rfam family: Bacterial small subunit ribosomal RNA
Source: RNAcentral